GCUAAUUAUUUUAGAUUGGGUUUUAUAUAUUAUUUUUUGUUGCAUGUAAGUUAAAGCGUUAAUAAAAUUUCUAUUUAAUAUUAGUAUUAGCUUGGUUGAAUCUACAGCAACUAGAUUUGCUUAUUUAAGAAAUUAAGAAGCAGAAAUUUUAAAGAAAAUAGACUAAGUUUGUGCCAGCAGUAGCGGUUAAACAAACUAUUUGAUAUAAAAUUAUUGGUGUUAGUUAAUUUUUUAUAAGAGGUUAAAAGAAGUUUUGUUAGGUGAAAUUUUAAAACUUUAAAGCCUUGUAGGGUUAAUUUGAGGCUAGGAAAAUUUUUAAAAAGACUAGGAUUAGAUACCCUAUUAUAGUAAUGUAAAUUUUAAAACCAGAUUAGUAAAAGUUAAUUUCUCUAAAAUUAAUGAAGAUGGCGGUAUUUUAGUCUAUUCAGAGGAGCCUGUCCUGUAAUUGAUGGUCCACGUUUUUUCAUACUUAUCUUAUUAACUUGCAUAUCGCCGUUUAAGAGUAUCUUUUUAAUGGGAAUAAUAUUCUGAAUCUUAGUUUUAAUAGGAAAUCAGGUCAAGAUGUAGUUUAUAGUUAAGAAGAGAUGGGCUACAGUAUUAAUAUAAUUGGAUUUUUUUUAGAAUAUAAGGAUAAAAGUGGAUUUGAGAGUAAAUUUAUAAAAUUAUGUAGAUUGAUUAAGCUCUAAAAUAUGUACAUAUCGCCCGUCGCUUUCAUUUAAGAUGAAAUAAGUCGUAACAAAGUAGGGGUACCGGAAGGUGCCCCUAGAAGCCC
This 772-nucleotide non-coding RNA is filed under the name Polygraphus poligraphus. Lineage: Eukaryota; Metazoa; Arthropoda; Insecta; Coleoptera; Curculionidae. The record is from RNAcentral.